RNAcentral lists this ribosomal RNA (362 nucleotides) under Acanthephyra armata. Its description in RNAcentral is "partial 12S ribosomal RNA". Lineage: Eukaryota; Metazoa; Arthropoda; Malacostraca; Decapoda; Oplophoridae. The record is from RNAcentral.
UGUUAUACUUAAUUGAAAUUAUUCAAGCUUGAGUAGUAAUCAGUUAUGUUCUUGAAACUUAAAGGAUUUGGCGGUAUCUUAGUCUAGUUAGAGGAACCUGUUUUAUAAACGAUAUACCACGAAAUAUCUUACUUCUUUUGGUGAAAUCAGUUUGUAUACCGUCAUUAUUAGAUAAUCUUUAUAAGGAGUUAUUAAAAUAAGGUUUUGUUAAUAUAUUAGAUCAAGGUGCAGCCGAUAUAGGAGAAAGUAAUGGGUUACAAUGUUAUUUGAAACAAACGGAAGAAAAAUAGAAUGUUUUUUUGAAGGUGGAUUUAAUAGUAAUUGUAUUUUAAUAAGGGAUAGUGAUAUUAGCUCUAUGAUAU